UUAAGCGACUAAGCGUACACGGUGGAUGCCCUGGCAGUCAGAGGCGAUGAAGGACGUGCUAAUCUGCGAAAAGCGUCGGUAAGGUGAUAUGAACCGUUAUAACCGGCGAUGUCCGAAUGGGGAAACCCAGUGCAAUUCGUUGCACUAUCGUUAACUGAAUACAUAGGUUAACGAGGCGAACCGGGGGAACUGAAACAUCUAAGUACCCCGAGGAAAAGAAAUCAACCGAGAUUCCCCCAGUAGCGGCGAGCGAACGGGGAGCAGCCCAGAGUCUGAAUCAGCUUGUGUGUUAGUGGAACGGUCUGGAAAGUCCGACGGUACAGGGUGAUAGUCCCGUACACCAAAAUGCACAGGCUGUGAACUCGAAGAGUAGGGCGGGACACGUGGUAUCCUGUCUGAAUAUGGGGGGACCAUCCUCCAAGGCUAAAUACUCCUGACUGACCGAUAGUGAACCAGUACCGUGAGGGAAAGGCGAAAAGAACCCCGGCGAGGGGAGUGAAAAAGAACCUGAAACCGUGUACGUACAAGCAGUGGGAGCACCUUCGGGUGUGACUGCGUACCUUUUGUAUAAUGGGUCAGCGACUUAUAUUCUGUAGCAAGGUUAACCGUAUAGGGGAGCCGCAGGGAAACCGAGUCUUAACUGGGCGUUAAGUUGCAGGGUAUAGACCCGAAACCCGGUGAUCUAGCCAUGGGCAGGUUGAAGGUUGGGUAACACUAACUGGAGGACCGAACCGACUAAUGUUGAAAAAUUAGCGGAUGACUUGUGGCUGGGGGUGAAAGGCCAAUCAAACCGGGAGAUAGCUGGUUCUCCCCGAAAGCUAUUUAGGUAGCGCCUCGUGAAUUCAUCUUCGGGGGUAGAGCACUGUUUCGGCUAGGGGGUCAUCCCGACUUACCAACCCGAUGCAAACUACGAAUACCGAAGAAUGUUAUCACGGGAGACACACGGCGGGUGCUAACGUCCGUCGUGAAGAGGGAAACAACCCAGACCGCCAGCUAAGGUCCCAAAGUCAUGGUUAAGUGGGAAACGAUGUGGGAAGGCACAGACAGCCAGGAUGUUGGCUUAGAAGCAGCCAUCAUUUAAAGAAAGCGUAAUAGCUCACUGGUCGAGUCGGCCUGCGCGGAAGAUGUAACGGGGCUAAACCAUGCACCGAAGCUGCGGCAGCGACACUAUGUGUUGUUGGGUAGGGGAGCGUUCUGUAAGCCUGCGAAGGUGUGCUGUGAGGCAUGCUGGAGGUAUCAGAAGUGCGAAUGCUGACAUAAGUAACGAUAAAGCGGGUGAAAAGCCCGCUCGCCGGAAGACCAAGGGUUCCUGUCCAACGUUAAUCGGGGCAGGGUGAGUCGACCCCUAAGGCGAGGCCGAAAGGCGUAGUCGAUGGGAAACAGGUUAAUAUUCCUGUACUUGGUGUUACUGCGAAGGGGGGACGGAGAAGGCUAUGUUAGCCGGGCGACGGUUGUCCCGGUUUAAGCAUGUAGGCUGGUUGUCCAGGCAAAUCCGGAUAAUCAAGGCUGAGGUGUGAUGACGAGGCACUACGGUGCUGAAGUAACAAAUGCCCUGCUUCCAGGAAAAGCCUCUAAGCAUCAGGUAACAUUAAAUCGUACCCCAAACCGACACAGGUGGUCAGGUAGAGAAUACCAAGGCGCUUGAGAGAACUCGGGUGAAGGAACUAGGCAAAAUGGUGCCGUAACUUCGGGAGAAGGCACGCUGGUGUGUAGGUGAAGUCCCUGCGGAUGGAGCUGAGACCAGUCGAAGAUACCAGCUGGCUGCAACUGUUUAUUAAAAACACAGCACUGUGCAAACACGAAAGUGGACGUAUACGGUGUGACGCCUGCCCGGUGCCGGAAGGUUAAUUGAUGGGGUUAUCCGUAAGGAGAAGCUCUUGAUCGAAGCCCCGGUAAACGGCGGCCGUAACUAUAACGGUCCUAAGGUAGCGAAAUUCCUUGUCGGGUAAGUUCCGACCUGCACGAAUGGCGUAAUGAUGGCCAGGCUGUCUCCACCCGAGACUCAGUGAAAUUGAACUCGCUGUGAAGAUGCAGUGUACCCGCGGCAAGACGGAAAGACCCCGUGAACCUUUACUAUAGCUUGACACUGAACAUUGAGCCUUGAUGUGUAGGAUAGGUGGGAGGCUUUGAAGCGUGGACGCCAGUCUGCGUGGAGCCAACCUUGAAAUACCACCCUUUAAUGUUUGAUGUUCUAACGUUGGCCCCUUACCGGGGUUGCGGACAGUGUCUGGUGGGUAGUUUGACUGGGGCGGUCUCCUCCCAAAGCGUAACGGAGGAGCACGAAGGUUAGCUAAUCCUGGUCGGACAUCAGGAGGUUAGUGCAAUGGCAUAAGCUAGCUUGACUGCGAGCGUGACGGCGCGAGCAGGUGCGAAAGCAGGUCAUAGUGAUCCGGUGGUUCUGAAUGGAAGGGCCAUCGCUCAACGGAUAAAAGGUACUCCGGGGAUAACAGGCUGAUACCGCCCAAGAGUUCAUAUCGACGGCGGUGUUUGGCACCUCGAUGUCGGCUCAUCACAUCCUGGGGCUGAAGUAGGUCCCAAGGGUAUGGCUGUUCGCCAUUUAAAGUGGUACGCGAGCUGGGUUUAGAACGUCGUGAGACAGUUCGGUCCCUAUCUGCCGUGGGCGCUGGAGAAUUGAGGGGGGCUGCUCCUAGUACGAGAGGACCGGAGUGGACGCAUCACUGGUGUUCGGGUUGUCAUGCCAAUGGCACUGCCCGGUAGCUAAAUGCGGAAGAGAUAAGUGCUGAAAGCAUCUAAGCACGAAACUUGCCCCGAGAUGAGUUCUCCCUGAGACUUUAAGUCUCCUGAAGGAACGUUGAAGACGACGACGUUGAUAGGCCGGGUGUGUAAGCGCAGCGAUGCGUUGAGCUAACCGGUACUAAUGAACCGUGAGGCUUAACCUU
RNAcentral lists this ribosomal RNA (2900 nucleotides) under Klebsiella pneumoniae. RNAcentral's name for it is "bacterial LSU rRNA". It matches the Rfam family "Bacterial large subunit ribosomal RNA". The record is from RNAcentral. Lineage: Bacteria; Pseudomonadati; Pseudomonadota; Gammaproteobacteria; Enterobacterales; Enterobacteriaceae.